GGCUCGAACCCGGGUCUUCUCGCUGCAAGGCGAGAGUGCUAACCACUACUCCUACCGUGUGGCCCAAUUUGGGCUACACCCUGGCUAGGCCGCCAGUCCAUCACAGGGCCAACAACAGUCACACCUAUGGCCAAGAGUGUCCAACCAUGUUCCUGGAGAAAACCCACAUCCACAGGAGAAAACCCAAUGCAGGAAGCAAACCCAGGUCUUAUUGUUGAGGCAACAGUGCUCGCUAGUACCCUGCUGUGUGACCCCAUGUUUUUAUACUAUAUUUAGAACCUGUCAGCUUAGAACAAUAAAUGCUAUAUAGACUAGAUCUAUCCUUAGUCAGUGGUGAAACUAAGACUUAAUUUGUCAUUAUAAUAAUCAACAAAUGUUCAUAUGAAUUCAAAACCAGUCCUUGUGUGUUUACAAAUUUUAUUUUGUACUAUUGUACUAUUUGUUUUUCAGUGUGGUUUGAAAAAAGUGAAUCAAACCAUGUUACGUCAAUGUCAGUAUACAUAACAAAAAGUUCUCUUAUCAAAAGGGGUUUUGUAAGAUUUUGAGAGAUAAGUAAUACGACAAAAUCAUCACUUCAAAAGUUUCAGUCAUUUUGGACAAUGGGUUGACAGUGACCACAGUUAUAUCAUGACGUGAAAUACAAAUAAAACAUGAAACACAACUGUCAA
Molecule: long non-coding RNA, 668 nt
Organism: Solea senegalensis (Senegalese sole)
Lineage: Eukaryota; Metazoa; Chordata; Actinopteri; Pleuronectiformes; Soleidae
Exons: 2
Source: RefSeq, a predicted model, not a curated record